CCUACGGGGGGCAGCAGUGGGGAAUAUUGCACAAUGGGCGCAAGCCUGAUGCAGCCAUGCCGCGUGUAUGAAGAAGGCCUUCGGGUUGUAAAGUACUUUCAGUCGUGAGGAAGGUGUUAAGGUUAAUAACCUUAGCAAUUGACGUUAGCGACAGAAGAAGCACCGGCUAACUCCGUGCCAGCAGCCGCGGUAAUACGGAGGGUGCGAGCGUUAAUCGGAAUUACUUGGCGUAAAGGGCACGCAGGUGGUUAAUUAAGAUGGAUGUGAAAUCCCCGGGCGUAACCUGGGAAUGGCAUUCAAGACUGGUUAGCUAGAGUCUUGUAGGGGGGAAUAGGAUUCCAUGUGUAGCGGUGAAAGGCGUAGAGAUGUGGAGGAGUACCGGUGGCGAAGGCGGCCCGCUGAACAAAGACUGACGCUCAAGUGCGAAAGCGUGAGGAGCAAACAGGAUUAGAUACACCGGUAGUG
This 465-nucleotide ribosomal RNA is filed under the name uncultured Arsenophonus sp. Its description in RNAcentral is "bacterial SSU rRNA". It matches the Rfam family "Bacterial small subunit ribosomal RNA", at positions 338 to 795 of the family's 1533-position model. Lineage: Bacteria; Pseudomonadati; Pseudomonadota; Gammaproteobacteria; Enterobacterales; Morganellaceae. The record is from RNAcentral.